RNAcentral lists this transfer RNA (77 nucleotides) under Candidatus Magasanikbacteria bacterium CG1_02_41_34. RNAcentral's name for it is "tRNA-Val". It matches the Rfam family "tRNA". Rfam says of the family: Transfer RNA (tRNA) molecules are approximately 80 nucleotides in length. Their secondary structure includes four short double-helical elements and three loops (D, anti-codon, and T loops). Lineage: Bacteria; Candidatus Magasanikiibacteriota. RNAcentral also lists the same sequence under 2 other names. The record is from RNAcentral.
GACCAUAUAGCUCAGAUGGUUAGAGCGCUACAUUGACAUUGUAGAGGUCCGUGGUUCGAAUCCACGUAUGGUCACAA